GAAAAUUGUGUAUGAGUGUGUAUUUGAAUUUUGCUCAAAAUAAUAAUAAUAAUAAUAGUGUGUAUGUGUUUGGGAUUUUCAAUUUAUGUGUUUGAGCCACCUAGUGGUGUGAUGAGUGACUGCACGCAACGGGUCCUUCAGGCGCUCUCUUGGCUUCCCCCAUCAGAGUUCUGAGGAGCGCUGGUGGAGCUGUGGACCAGUUGUGUGGAGUCACAUUAUUUCUGUUCAUAACACAUUAGGUGACAAACAACAAGAGGGUUACACUGGUGCCGUGACUCCGUGAUCCCUGAUCGGCUUGAUGCUGUUCGCCGGGUUGCUGCGUCGUCCACCUACAAGCUGCCUCUUCACCUCAAGACGCGUCAACACACCUGUGUUACAAGGUUAAAGGACUGAGGGGAGAAAAUUUAUUGUCAAUAAGUGACUGAUUUUUA
Molecule: long non-coding RNA, 431 nt
Organism: Gambusia affinis (western mosquitofish)
Lineage: Eukaryota; Metazoa; Chordata; Actinopteri; Cyprinodontiformes; Poeciliidae
Exons: 2
Source: RefSeq, a predicted model, not a curated record